This 732-nucleotide ribosomal RNA is filed under the name uncultured bacterium. RNAcentral describes it as "bacterial SSU rRNA". It matches the Rfam family "Bacterial small subunit ribosomal RNA", at positions 28 to 776 of the family's 1533-position model. The record is from RNAcentral.
GAUGAACGCUGACAGAAUGCUUAACACAUGCAAGUCUACUUGAAGCUAGCUUCGGCUAGUGGAGGGUGGCGGACGGGUGAGUAACGCGUAAAGAACUUGCCUCACAGACUGGGACAACAUUUGGAAACGAAUGCUAAUACCGGAUAUUAUGAAUUUUCCGCAUGGAAGAGACAUGAAAGCUAUAUGCGCUGUGAGAGAGCUUUGCGUCCCAUUAGCUAGUUGGAGAGGUAACGGCUCACCAAGGCGAUGAUGGGUAGCCGGCCUGAGAGGGUGAACGGCCACAAGGGGACUGAGACACGGCCCUUACUCCUACGGGAGGCAGCAGUGGGGAAUAUUGGACAAUGGACCAAAAGUCUGAUCCAGCAAUUCUGUGUGCAUGAUGAAGUUUUUCGGAAUGUAAAGUGCUUUCAGUUGGGAAGAAGCAAGUGACGGUACCAACAGAAGAAGCGACGGCUAAAUACGUGCCAGCAGCCGCGGUAAUACGUAUGUCGCAAGCGUUAUCCGGAUUUAUUGGGCGUAAAGCGCGUCUAGGUGGUUAUAUAAGUCUGAUGUGAAAAUGCGGGGCUCAACUCCGUAUUGCGUUGGAAACUGUAUGACUAGAGUACUGGAGAGGUAAGCGGAACUACAAGUGUAGAGGUGAAAUUCGUAGAUAUUUGUAGGAAUGCCGAUGGGGAAGCCAGCUUACUGGACAGAUACUGACGCUAAAGCGCGAAAGCGUGGGUAGCAAACAGG